Molecule: ribosomal RNA, 253 nt
Filed under: uncultured bacterium
Lineage: Bacteria
Description: partial 16S ribosomal RNA
Rfam family: Bacterial small subunit ribosomal RNA
Source: RNAcentral
GACGAACCGUGCGAACGUUGUUCGGAUUCACUGGGCUUAAAGGGCGCGUAGGCGGAUACCCAAGUCCGGGGUGAAAUCUUUCGGCUCAACCGGAAAACUGCCUUGGAUACUGGGUGUCUGGAGGGAGGUAGGGGCGUGCGGAACUUCCGGUGGAGCGGUGAAAUGCGUAGAUAUCGGAAGGAACGCCGGUGGCGAAAGCGGCGCGCUGGACCUCUUCUGACGCUGAGGCGCGAAAGCCAGGGGAGCAAACGGG